Molecule: ribosomal RNA, 429 nt
Filed under: Pseudomonadota bacterium
Lineage: Bacteria; Pseudomonadati; Pseudomonadota
Description: Proteobacteria bacterium partial 16S ribosomal RNA
Rfam family: Bacterial small subunit ribosomal RNA
Source: RNAcentral
UGGGGAAUAUUGGACAAUGGGCGAAAGCCUGAUCCAGCCAUGCCGCGUGUGUGAAGAAGGUCUUCGGAUUGUAAAGCACUUUAAGUUGGGAGGAAGGGCAGUAAGCGAAUACCUUGCUGUUUUGACGUUACCGACAGAAUAAGCACCGGCUAACUCUGUGCCAGCAGCCGCGGUAAUACAGAGGGUGCAAGCGUUAAUCGGAAUUACUGGGCGUAAAGCGCGCGUAGGUGGUUCGUUAAGUUGAAUGUGAAAGCCCCGGGCUCAACCUGGGAACUGCAUCCAAAACUGGCGAGCUAGAGUAGGGCAGAGGGUGGUGGAAUUUCCUGUGUAGCGGUGAAAUGCGUAGAUAUAGGAAGGAAAACCAGUGGCGAAGGCGACCACCUGGGCUCAUACUGACACUGAGGUGCGAAAGCGUGGGGAGCAAACAGG